GUGGGGAAUAUUGGACAAUGGGCGAAAGCCUGAUCCAGCCAUGCCGCGUGUGUGAAGAAGGUCUUCGGAUUGUAAAGCACUUUAAGUUGGGAGGAAGGGCAGUAAGUUAAUACCUUGCUGUUUUGACGUUACCGACAGAAUAAGCACCGGCUAACUUCGUGCCAGCAGCCGCGGUAAUACGAAGGGUGCAAGCGUUAAUCGGAAUUACUGGGCGUAAAGCGCGCGUAGGUGGUUUUGUAAGUUGGAGGUGAAAGCCCCGGGCUCAACCUGGGAACUGCCUCCAAAACUGCAUGACUAGAGUACGGUAGAGGGUAGUGGAAUUUCCUGUGUAGCGGUGAAAUGCGUAGAUAUAGGAAGGAACACCAGUGGCGAAGGCGACUACCUGGACUGAUACUGACACUGAGGUGCGAAAGCGUGGGGAGCAAACAGGAUUAGAUACCCUAGUAGUCC
Molecule: ribosomal RNA, 450 nt
Filed under: uncultured bacterium
Lineage: Bacteria
Description: partial 16S ribosomal RNA
Rfam family: Bacterial small subunit ribosomal RNA
Source: RNAcentral